This 405-nucleotide unclassified non-coding RNA is filed under the name soil metagenome. RNAcentral describes it as "partial contains 5.8S ribosomal RNA, internal transcribed spacer 2, and large subunit ribosomal RNA". The stretch from base 1 to 121 matches the Rfam family "5.8S ribosomal RNA", at positions 35 to 154 of the family's 154-position model. The record is from RNAcentral.
GAUGAAGAACGCAGCGAAAUGCGAUAAGUAAUGUGAAUUGCAGAAUUCAGUGAAUCAUCGAAUCUUUGAACGCACCUUGCGCCCUUUGGCCAUUCCGAAGGGCAUGCCUGUUUGAGUAUCAUGAACACCUCAACUCUUUAUGGUUUUCCAUGAUGAGCUUGGACUCUGGGGGUUUUGCUGGCUCACAGUCGGCUCCUCUAAAAUGAAUCAGCUUACCAGUGUUUGGUGGGUAUAAUGGGUGUGAUAACUAUCUACGCUUGUGGUUUUUCCACCAGGUAACCUUCAGCAGUGGAGGUUCGCUGGAGCUCAUAGAUGUCUCUCCUCAGUGAGGACAGCCCUUUGAAUGUUUGAUCUCAAAUCAGGUAGGACUACCCGCUGAACUUAAGCAUAUCAAUAAGCGGAGGA